Long non-coding RNA from Limanda limanda (common dab), 455 nucleotides. RefSeq lists it as uncharacterized. NCBI's taxonomy places the organism in Eukaryota, Metazoa, Chordata, Actinopteri, Pleuronectiformes, Pleuronectidae. The transcript is spliced from 3 exons. The record is from RefSeq and is a predicted model, not a curated record.
CCCCCCCCCCCCCCCCCACACACACACACACAAACAAAGAGGCGUUAGGCUGAGACGCUGAAAGUCCGGAUUUAAAGUGCAGAAAAUUAAGCCAUUGAAUCUGCCUGUCCAUGACGUACAAAGACACACUAUGAGCCAGUAUGAUCCGACCAGACCUUACAUCAGCAUUGAGGAGUUGUCGGAGAAGAAAGAGGCUGAUUGAAGCGGGACAGAUGACAUGAAUCCAUCCUUCCACAGCCAGGAGCGCACCGACCUGUGUCCCACACUUCAUAUAAGACUGGAAGCUACACUGGAUCUCACAGCUACACACCACAGACGUCUACACACUGGAGAAGAUUCAGACAGAGUCCCACAAAGAAGUUAUGACCCAGAGGUUGCAGAGAAACAUUUCAAGCCUCAUCUGAGUUUUUGUACAAUAUUUUUGCUGUAUGUAAAUAAAGCUUUCACUCAACAUA